CGAAAUUCUGCAAUGUGUGAUAAAUAGAUGAGUCUAAUAGCAGACCAGAAUUCUUUUGGAACCAACUCAGUUAAACCAUGAGACUAAAAUUAGAUAAAUGGAAAGAGGACCACCAAAGAAUACAAGCCUAAUUUGAACACUUAGACCUAGAGACUUCAGAUUUACUGUGCAUAGAUAAGGAGUGCAUAGAUAGGGAGAUUUUGUAAUUUACAGAUUUUGGAUACC
This 225-nucleotide small RNA is filed under the name Drosophila mojavensis. RNAcentral describes it as "GI26131". The record is from RNAcentral. Lineage: Eukaryota; Metazoa; Arthropoda; Insecta; Diptera; Drosophilidae.